GCUCCAAUAGCGUAUAUUAAAGUUGUUGCAGUUAAAAAGCUCGUAGUUGGAUUUGUGGCAUCUUUUUAUUCUCUGGUCCACCUCGCGGUGAGCACUGGGGGAGAGAGCCAUUUUUUUCCUGGGGGUGGCGUGUGCACUUUGUUGUGUGUGCGUUAUUUACAGCUCUGGGAUCUUUACUUUGAAAAAAUUAGAGUGUUCAA
Molecule: ribosomal RNA, 200 nt
Filed under: uncultured eukaryote
Lineage: Eukaryota
Description: partial 18S ribosomal RNA
Rfam family: Eukaryotic small subunit ribosomal RNA
Source: RNAcentral